GCUAGCUUAUGCUAACGGUAAGCAGACAGUUUGCUAAACUGUUGUACCUUCGGGUAUUAAAGGUUCGAGUCCUUUAGCUAGCG
RNAcentral lists this transfer RNA (83 nucleotides) under Lachnospiraceae bacterium. Its description in RNAcentral is "tRNA-Ser". It matches the Rfam family "tRNA". Rfam says of the family: Transfer RNA (tRNA) molecules are approximately 80 nucleotides in length. Their secondary structure includes four short double-helical elements and three loops (D, anti-codon, and T loops). Lineage: Bacteria; Bacillati; Bacillota; Clostridia; Lachnospirales; Lachnospiraceae. The record is from RNAcentral.